GUUGAACGCUGGCGGCAGGCCUAACACAUGCAAGUCGAGCGGAAACGAUCCUAGCUUGCUAGGAGGCGUCGAGCGGCGGACGGGUGAGUAACGCGUGAGAAUCUACCCAUGAGUGGGGGACAACCCGGGGAAACUCGGGCUAAUACCGCAUACGCCCUACGGGGUAAAGCAGGGGACCUUCGGGCCUUGCGCUGAUGGAUGAGCUCGCGUCGGAUUAGCUUGUUGGUGAGGUAAAGGCUCACCAAGGCGACGAUCCGUAGCUGGUCUGAGAGGAUGAUCAGCCACACCGGGACUGAGACACGGCCCGGACUCCUACGGGAGGCAGCAGUGGGGAAUCUUGGACAAUGGGGGCAACCCUGAUCCAGCCAUGCCGCGUGUGUGAAGAAGGCCUUCGGGUUGUAAAGCACUUUCAGCAGGGAGGAAGGCUUACCCCUAAUACGGGUGAGUACUUGACGUUACCUGCAGAAGAAGCACCGGCUAAUUUCGUG
Molecule: ribosomal RNA, 488 nt
Filed under: uncultured bacterium
Lineage: Bacteria
Description: bacterial SSU rRNA
Rfam family: Bacterial small subunit ribosomal RNA
Source: RNAcentral